GCCGGAGUGGCGGAACUGGUAGACGCGCACGACUCAAAAUCGUGUUCGGUAGCCCCGAGUGUGGGUUCGAUUCCCACCUCCGGCACCA
This 88-nucleotide transfer RNA is filed under the name Pseudomonadota bacterium. RNAcentral's name for it is "tRNA-Leu". It matches the Rfam family "tRNA". Rfam says of the family: Transfer RNA (tRNA) molecules are approximately 80 nucleotides in length. Their secondary structure includes four short double-helical elements and three loops (D, anti-codon, and T loops). Lineage: Bacteria; Pseudomonadati; Pseudomonadota. RNAcentral also lists the same sequence under 1 other name. The record is from RNAcentral.